GACGAACGCUGGCGGCGUGCUUAACUCAUGCAAGUCGAACGGAAAGGCCCUGCUUUUGUGGGGUGCUCGAGUGGCGAACGGGUGAGUAACACGUGAGUAACCUGCCCUUGACUUUGGGAUAACUUCAGGAAACUGGGGCUAAUACCGGAUAGGAGCUCCUGCUGCAUGGUGGGGGUUGGAAAGUUUCGGCGGUUGGGGAUGGACUCGCGGCUUAUCAGCUUGUUGGUGGGGUAGUGGCUUACCAAGGCUUUGACGGGUAGCCGGCCUGAGAGGGCGACCGGCCACAUUGGGACUGAGAUACGGCCCAGACUCCUACGGGAGGCAGCAGUGGGGAAUAUUGCACAAUGGGCGGAAGCCUGAUGCAGCAACGCCGCGUGCGGGAUGGCGGCCUUCGGGUUGUAAACCGCUUUCGCCUGUGACGAAGCGUGAGUGACGGUAAUGGGUAAAGAAGCACCGGCUAACUACGUGCCAGCAGCCGCGGUGAUACGUAGGGUGCGAGCGUUGUCCGGAUUUAUUGGGCGUAAAGGGCUCGUAGGUGGUUGAUCGCGUCGGAAGUGUAAUCUUGGGGCUUAACCCUGAGCGUGCUUUCGAUACGGGUUGACUUGAGGAAGGUAGGGGAGAAUGGAAUUCCUGGUGGAGCGGUGGAAUGCGCAGAUAUCAGGAGGAACACCAGUGGCGAAGGCGGUUCUCUGGGCCUUUCCUGACGCUGAGGAGCGAAAGCGUGGGGAGCGAACAGGCUUAGAUACCCCGGUAGUCCACGCUGUAAACGGUGGGUACUAGGUGUGGGGUCCAUUCCACGGGUUCCGUGCCGUAGCUAACGCUUUAAGUACCCCGCCUGGGGAGUACGGCCGCAAGGCUAAAACUCAAAGGAAUUGACGGGGCCCCGCACAAGCGGCGGAGCAUGCGGAUUAAUUCGAUGCAACGCGUAGAACCUUACCUGGGUUUGACAUGGAUCGGGAGUGCUCAGAGAUGGGUGUGCCUCUUUUGGGGUCGGUUCACAGGUGGUGCAUGCCUGUCGUCAGCUCGUGUCGUGAGAUGUUGGGUUAAGUCCCGCAACGAGCGCAACCCUUGUUCACUGUUGCCAGCACGUUAUGGUGGGGACUCAGUGGAGACCGCCGGGGUCAACUCGGAGGAAGGUGGGGAUGACGUCAAGUCAUCAUGCCCCUUAUGUCCAGGGCUUCACGCAUGCUACAAUGGCUGGUACAGAGAGUGGCGAGCCUGUGAGGGUGAGCGAAUCUCGGAAAGCCGGUCUCAGUUCGGAUUGGGGUCUGCAACUCGACCUCAUGAAGUCGGAGUCGCUAGUAAUCGCAGAUCAGCAACGCUGCGGUGAAUACGUUCCCGGGGCU
Molecule: ribosomal RNA, 1346 nt
Filed under: uncultured bacterium
Lineage: Bacteria
Description: partial 16S ribosomal RNA
Rfam family: Bacterial small subunit ribosomal RNA
Source: RNAcentral